AGAAUCAACGCUGGCGGCGUGCCUAACACAUGCAAGUCGAUUGAGAAAGUGGAGCAAUCCAUGAGUAAAGAGGCGCACGGGUGAGUAACACGUGACUAACCUACCCUCGAGUGGGGAAUAAACCUGGGGAAACCCGGGCUAAUACCGCAUAAUACCUACGGGUCAAAGGAGCAAUUCGCUUGAGGAGGGGUCGCGGCAGAUUAGUUAGUUGGCGGGGUAAUGGCCCACCAAGACGAUGAUCUGUA
This 245-nucleotide ribosomal RNA is filed under the name uncultured bacterium. RNAcentral's name for it is "partial small subunit ribosomal RNA". It matches the Rfam family "Bacterial small subunit ribosomal RNA", at positions 26 to 285 of the family's 1533-position model. The record is from RNAcentral.